GACGAACGCUGGCGGCGUGCUUAACACAUGCAAGUCGAACGGAAAGGCCCUGCUUUUGUGGGGUGCUCGAGUGGCGAACGGGUGAGUAACACGUGAGUAACCUGCCCUUGACUUUGGGAUAACUUCAGGAAACUGGGGCUAAUACCGUAUAGGAGCUCCUGCUGCAUGGUGGGGGUUGGAAAGUUUCGGCGGUUGGGGAUGGACUCGCGGCUUAUCAGCUUGUUGGUGGGGUAGUGGCUUACCAAGGCUUUGACGGGUAGCCGGCCUGAGAGGGUGACCGGCCACAUUGGGACUGAGAUACGGCCCAGACUGCUACGGGAGGCAGCAGGGGGGAAUAUUGCACAAUGGGCGGAAGCGUGAGGCAGAAACGCCGCGUGCGGGAUGACGGCCUUCGGGUUGUAAACCGCUUUCGCCUGUGACGAAGCGUGAGUGACGGUAAUGGGUAAAGAAGCACCGGCUAACUACGUG
Molecule: ribosomal RNA, 468 nt
Filed under: uncultured bacterium
Lineage: Bacteria
Description: partial 16S ribosomal RNA
Rfam family: Bacterial small subunit ribosomal RNA
Source: RNAcentral